This 2526-nucleotide long non-coding RNA is filed under the name Marmota monax (woodchuck). Lineage: Eukaryota; Metazoa; Chordata; Mammalia; Rodentia; Sciuridae. The record is from RNAcentral.
CAAGGCCUCAUGCAUGCUAGGCAAGUGCUCUGCCACUGAACUACAUUCCCAGUUCAGGUCAGUUUAUUUUUAAAAAAUCUUCAUAAAUCUGUAAAAGCUGUUUGCAGAUGUUACAGGUGUCAGAUAAAUUGCUUUCUUAGGGGCCACAUGUUACACAGGUAUCUUGUAAUGUUCAGCUUCUGUUUGCCCUCGAAAUAGUUGAAAGUAAACAUGACUAAGUUUAAGUGGCAAAAUAAUUAAGUUGGUGUUAGUCAUAAUCAUGGCUUUUCUUUAUUCUUUUCUCCACCUCUCAAAUGGCUUUCUUUUUUAAUCAAAACUUGAGACAGUCUCAUGUCAGUUAUCUAAAGUAAGCAGUUGUGUUACAGUCAGUAACUUUUUGAUGGAUUUUUAAAAAAUCCAUUUGCUUCAUAGACACUUUUACUCUUUAUGCCAAAUUUAUGUCCCUUUCUUUCAUACAUACCUCCACAUUGCUGCCAGAGUGAGCUGUUUAAAUGGUCAGCUGAUAAUGUUACUCUUCAGAAUCUUUCAGUGGUUUCUCAUUACUGAAUAGAUAAAAUGGAAACUCCUUAGCAAACUAUGUAAGGUCCUUCAUAGUCAUUUCCCUGCUUCCUCUUUAGACUCAUUUCGUGUCAUUUUAUCUUCAGAGCUGUUCCUCAGUAAUUCUGAAUUACCUGUGCUUCCUUCAAAAUAUAAUGUUCUCUUACAUUUUCAUAAUUUUUUAUAUGAAGUCCUCUUUUCGUGAACCUUUCCUCUCUUCUCCUUUGUUCUCUGGGCAUUUUUUUCUCAACAAUUAUGGGUUGGACCAAAUAGUUAACUUUUUAGUGAAGAAGGUUUGCUUACUCCCUGAGUUGGGCUUGGACAUGUUAUCCUCUACCUUUGCAUCUGGUGAUUUUCAACACCAGGAUAGUUAGUAUAUAGUAGUACUCAUUAUUUAUUUAUUGAGUAAAGAUUAUUGACAGUUAUAUCAGUUAUGCCAUUGAAACCUCAUCUCUCAUUGAAUUGGAGAAAUUCUAGGCAUUAGGAGAUGGAUUUAGAGAAAUAUGCAUAUAUGCAUUUAUCUUUGUAUAGGUGUGUGUAUAUACCAUCUAAAAUAUUAUUCAGAGUAACUCCUAGACUGUAAUUAACAAUGACCCUAAAAAUAAAUCAGGUUUUGUUCUUUUUUAUGUUUUCUGUGAUGUUAAGAGGAAGAUUAAAAGGUUCUCUGCGUCACAACCAACAAUAAAAAAUUAAAAAAAGAAAAAAGAAAAAAAAAAAAGGUUCUCUGCGUGAACUUUAGCCUAAUUAUUUUCUUUGUAUAUUGCAGGGUUGGCAAACCAUGGGCCACAUUCAGUCCAUUAUCUGUUUUGGUAUGGCCUGCAAGUUAAGACUGGUUUUUACAUUUUUCAAUGAAAAACAAAAUCAAAACACACCAGACACUAGUAUGGCAAUAUGUAAAUCAAUGGAUGUGUAACUGAUGUGAUUCUGCAAUCUGUAUAUGGGGUAAAAAUGGGAGCUCAUAACCCACUUGAAUCAAAGUGUGAAAUAUGAUAUAUCAAGAACUAUGUAAUGUUUUGAACAGCCAACAAUAAAAAAUUAAAAAAAAAAAAAAAAAAGAAUACUGGAGCUGGGGGUGUGGUUCAGUGGUGGAGGGCCUGCCUGGUAUAUGCGAGGCACUGGGUUUGAUCCUCAGCACCACAUAAAAAUAAAUAAAUAAAUAAAAUAAAGGUAUUCUGUCCAUCUACAACUAAAAUUUGUGUCAUGUGAAAAUUACAGGAAAUUCAGGUUUCUGUGUGAAACACACACAGUUUUAUUGGAACCUAGCCAUGCUCAUUUGUUUAUAUAUUGACUGUGGCUGUUUGGGGGUACAACAGCAGACUUGAGUAGUUGCCAUAGAGACCAUAUGGCCUGCAAAGCCUAAAUAUUUACUAUUUGGCUCUUUACAGAAAAAGUUUGCUGGUUCUUGGUCUAUUACACAGUCUGUGCUCAUUAAGUACUUAUUGAAUAUUAUGAGCUGUGCUACACCUUGCCCUUUGAAGGCUUUUGCAGGGAAUAAUUGCAUUUAUUUAUUAAGAGAAAAUUGGUCACCUUGCCUUAGUAUAGAUUUAUCUGACAGACCCCUAUUGAGCCCCGUGAUGAUACAAUACUCUUAUUAUGUCUACCUCUGAAGAAUUCAGUUUCUGACAAAGUGUGUUAUUAGAUUCUAUUCCUUUUUCAAAGAAGUAUCCCAUGUAAGAGGUUUGGAGCACAGCAUGUAAGAACAUUUUUCUUUAGUCAAAUUUCAGUCUAUCACGUAUUUUGCACAAAAAACGUUGUUGUUAUACUUUUAUAUACCUGGAUUUUGUAUAUUAGCUUGUUAAACAGAUACUAUGUGUAAAGUAUGAGUUGUUGGAGUACUUAUGUUGGAAAAAUUGGGGGAUUUUUAUGGAGUAUAUUAACAUAUUCACUCACUUGAUAUUUAUUGACCACCUAUUAGGUACAAAUUUUGUUGUAUUUGACUUGAGGGUGAAAAUUUUCUUCCAUAAAUAAAAGCUAAAAUUGAAUUCAGAA